UUUUUUAUUAACCUUUUUUUAAUGAACCCUGAUUAUUGUUUAAUUACAAAUGAAGAGGGACAGAGAAGAGAAACUCUAGUACAGGUGGUUCCUCUAUGAUAAAAACAAAAAAUAAGAAGUCUCCGUCUCCCCUCUGGAGUGACAGCUCCUUGUUAAGGUCCAAACGAGGGUAGAGACAGGACAGGAGACCGGGGGACACAUUUAAAAUACAAUGCUUAAACAGUACAAAGCUUUUUUUUCUUACACAAUCCACCAUAAGGGGAAGAAAAUAUAUAUGUACAACAUCAAAUAAAAAUGGUUUAUUUCCCCCUGCUGUAUAUCAUUUAGGGAUUAUAUGACCCUCUUCUUUUCCAUGGUAACGUGGGUAUAAAAUCAACAUAAGUAUAAAAAAAGAAGAAAUCAUUAAAAAUAAAAUGCACUGAAGCCCACUAAGUUGAAGUUCCUGGGAGAGUGCAAAACAAGAACGGACAGGAAACCAGGAAAAGAGCAGAAUAAUCAAAAACAGUCACGUUAAUAAUAGAAUUACAAGAGUAACAGUAAAUAAGUCAGGAAAAAAUACAGAAGAAAAUGCCAAUGACAAGCGGGGCGCGGCGGGGAACGGUUCUUUCUCACCGCACACUCUGAAGCGGCUACAUCGGCCCCUAAAAGUUCAUUUGUUGAUCUUUUACUGGCACUUGUAGCAAUUUGCUGACAGUAAAUGACCCUUAUUCAACGGUGAUAAUGUAAAACAACCCAAUCAGAAGUAAGAGAUGUGUAUGUGAGUGACGGCAUAACCAUAGAAACCACACAUGCACAAGUGCACGUACACACACACACACACACACACACACACACACACACACACACACAGCGAGGAAAAUGAGCUGGGUCGGCUUUGGGAAGUCCCUCUUUCUCCAAUCUGCAGAUGCUUUAUGAUGUCGUUUCCGUUCCACUGUGUGUGUGUGUGUGGCAGCGAUUGUCUGCCUCCUCCUCCAGAGAGACCGUGGGGGCGUGUGAUGUCACAUGUGAUGUCAUGUUUCCCUUUAUUCUAGGCUCACUGUAACCAGGGUGUGUGUGUGUGUGUGUGUGUGUGUGUGUGUGUGUGUGUAGGGUUCAGAGCAGCCCGUGCACACGCCUAUCACACAAAGCCGACCCGGCACAGAGUCCAGAGUCCGCGCUUGAAGCAGGGUCCGUUUGCACCGGCAGCUGGCUGUGAGGUGACCGGCCAGCUUUCACCCAAUCACAAUCACCCGGUCCACUCUGAAGGUGCGUGUCGGCGGCGGCGGCUCACCGCUUCAGGUACUUGGUGAAGCCCCGCCUGUCGGGUAGAACACGCCCACAGAGUGUGACUCGGCUCCCAAGACUCUCCUGGGGGUCAAGUCGCUGAUUUGUCCUCGUGCCGUCACGCCCUCCAUUGCCUGACUACGCAACAACUACAAACAGUACAAUAUAAACACAAAACGGAUGCCGGCGGCCUUCGGCGCUGCAGCUCAGCGAUGGAGAGAAGGCAAGAGUGAGAAGGCAAAGGCUGAAUGAUGCUGGAAAUAAUAUGCCCGCUGAAUACAUACAUAUCUUUAACAUUAAAAAUAGUAGGAUUUUCCUGAUUUGUAUCAAAUGACCAUAUUGAAAUAUACUAUUUGAAUUCAAUAUAUAUUUGAAUAAAAUAUAUAUGUGUAGUUUUACUUUUUCUGCAUCUCUCUUUUACAAAAAACAGAAGGCAUGGUGGUGCUGUGUGUGUGUGUGUGUGUGUGUGUUAAAACAUGCUGGGGGCAACGUGACAAAACUCUUGUUGGCUCGUAAAAAGGCACAAUCUUAUUUGGAAUUGUUCGCUAAAAUGGGAAAUGGUUGUUUUUCCACUUAAAAAGAAAAAGAAAAGAAGAACUUCUUUCUUUCUGAUGUCUCAGCGAAAGUUGGCCUGAGUUGAACUCGACGUGGGGGGCACCCCCCCCCCCCCUCCCCGAGGGGCAAACCGGUUCGCUCCGAACGAGUCCUCGGAUCACUGCGAAUGCCCUAAAAUACUGUCCCGUGUCAGCGAGAGGCACAAAGAAUACUUUAAAACGCUCAAACUAAAUAAAUGGUGCCACAGAGCGCUGUUGAUCCGUCAGAGGGAGCAAAACAAACCACGGCGCCACGCACACGGGAUCAAGUGGGACUAAGAGAAGGAGGGGGGGGGGGUUCGUCCUGGUGACGUAGGACUCCUCCGUCGCCUUGUGUCUUUGUACACUGUAGUGAACGAUCGCUUGGUGUCCCAGCGGUUUCCUGGUGGUGGGGGGGGGGGGGGGGGCUCCUAGUCACCCCCUCGUUCUUUGUUUUCUCCACCCUCACCGCCCUCCACCAUGUAAACGGCUGCUUGGCGAUGCUCGCAGGUUGAGGGGUAAAAGUUUUUCUUUGAGAAACAUCAGGAUCUGUUAGUCUGUUGCUGCUGAGCAGAAAUGUUUGGGGAGCAGUACCGAUGUGGAGGGGCACUGGUGGGAUUAAACAGGGACUAAUGAUCCUGUGUACAGGGGCGUUUCCAUGGUAAAGAUUUGUUAUCUCUUAAUGUUGUCGGUCACAGGAGAAAUACUGCUGAGUUGGCGUUUGAUGGGCCUGACGGGCCGAGCCUUGUAGACCACCAGAGGAACAUCUAUGUUCUUCUGCUUCUGCCGGCUCUGAUGCCUCACGGCGGCGUGCUGACAGACCUGAUCAUGGGAGGGGGGAUAAUGGCGUAAUCUCGUUCUGCGCUACAUUGUGGACCUGUGUGGGUGGGGGGGG
Long non-coding RNA from Gasterosteus aculeatus aculeatus (three-spined stickleback), 2730 nucleotides. NCBI's taxonomy places the organism in Eukaryota, Metazoa, Chordata, Actinopteri, Perciformes, Gasterosteidae. The record is from Ensembl.